Molecule: ribosomal RNA, 499 nt
Filed under: uncultured bacterium
Lineage: Bacteria
Description: partial 16S ribosomal RNA
Rfam family: Bacterial small subunit ribosomal RNA
Source: RNAcentral
GACGAACGCUGGCGGCGUGCCUAAUACAUGCAAGUCGAGCGAAGUGAUUCUGGUGCUUGCUCCGGAAUAACUUCGCGGCGCACGGGUGAGUAACACGUAAAGAACCUGCCUUAUAGUCUGGGAACACUAUUGGAAACGAUAGCUAAUACCGGAUAACAGCAUUACCUGCAUGGUUGAUGUUUGAAAGUUGCUUUUGCUAACACUAUGAUAUGUCUUUGCGGUGCAUUAGCUAGUUGGUGGGGUAAAGGCCUACCAAGGCGACGAUGCAUAGCCGACCUGAGAGGGUGAUCGGCCACACUGGAACUGAGACACGGCCCAGACUCCUACGGGAGGCAGCAGUAGGGAAUCUUCCGCAAUGGGCGAAAGCCUGACGGAGCAACGCCGCGUGAGUGAAGAAGGACUUCGGUUCGUAAAGCUCUGUUGUUAGGGAAGAAUGUUUGUGUAGUAACUAUACACAGUAGAGACGGUACCUAACCAGAAAGCCACGGCUAACUACGUG